This 553-nucleotide ribosomal RNA is filed under the name uncultured Verrucomicrobiales bacterium. RNAcentral describes it as "partial 16S ribosomal RNA". It matches the Rfam family "Bacterial small subunit ribosomal RNA", at positions 8 to 537 of the family's 1533-position model. The record is from RNAcentral. Lineage: Bacteria; Pseudomonadati; Verrucomicrobiota; Verrucomicrobiia; Verrucomicrobiales.
AGAGUUUGAUCAUGGCUCAGAACGAACGCUGGCGGCGUGGAUAAGACAUGCAAGUCGAGCGCUGAUUACAGGGUAGCAAUAUUCUGUAGUCGGAGCGGCGCAAGGGUGCGUAACACGUGGGUMAUCUGCCGUGAAGUUUGGGAUAACUUGCUGAAAGGCGAGCUAAUACCGGAUGUGAAAAUCGGAAGGCAUCUUCUGAUUUUCAAAGCUGGGGACCGUAAGGCCUGGCGCUUCAWGAUGAGCCCGCGGCCUAUCAKCUAGUUGGUAAGGUAACGGCUUACCAMGGCUAARACGGGUAGSUGGUCUGAGAGGACGACCAGCCACACUGGAACUGAGACACGRUCYAGACACCUASGGGUGGCAGCAGUCKAGAAUUUUUCACAAUGGGCGCAAGCCUGAUGGAGCGACGCCGCGUGGGGGAUGAAUGGCUUCGGCCCGUAAACCCCUGUCAUUUGCGAUCAAAUGUUGUUAUKUAARAGAUGACAACUUGCUAGUAGCGAAAGAGGAAGGGACGGCUAACUCCGUGCCAGCAGYCGCGGUAAUACAAGGGCGA